UACGUAGGGGGCUAGCGUUGUCCGGAAUCAUUGGGCGUAAAGAGCGUGUAGGCGGUCCGUUAAGUCGGCUGUGAAAGUCCAAGGCUCAACCUUGGGAUGCCGGUCGAUACUGCCGGACUAGAGUUCGGAAGAGGCGAGUGGAAUUCCCGGUGUAGCGGUGAAAUGCGCAGAUAUCGGGAGGAACACCUAUGGCGAAGGCAGCUCGCUGGGACGUUACUGACGCUGAGACGCGAAAGCGUGGGGAGCAAACAGG
RNAcentral lists this ribosomal RNA (253 nucleotides) under uncultured bacterium. RNAcentral describes it as "partial 16S ribosomal RNA". It matches the Rfam family "Bacterial small subunit ribosomal RNA", at positions 524 to 776 of the family's 1533-position model. The record is from RNAcentral.